Long non-coding RNA from Myotis lucifugus (little brown bat), 790 nucleotides. RefSeq lists it as uncharacterized. NCBI's taxonomy places the organism in Eukaryota, Metazoa, Chordata, Mammalia, Chiroptera, Vespertilionidae. The transcript has 2 exons. The record is from RefSeq and is a predicted model, not a curated record.
CAUGCCCUGAAGCCCUCCUGCGGUCCCUCCCCAGCCCAAAUCAUGGACCCCACUGGUGCACGAAUUUGUACACCGGGCCUCUAGUAUAAUAUUUAUCAUUGUAACACGUGUUUCUGAGAGCUUUAACUACUUCCCUUUUUAAUGAAAUUAUUUGAAUGAUUGUGGCUACAUUUAAUUUGAGUUUGCUGAUAAUUGAAUCUAAAUCCAACAGGAUACAGCAGCAUUAAUUCCAAAGGAGUCUUUAUAUAUGGAGUUGGAGGUAUGUGAAUGCCCCAUCAUUAAAUAGUUUUCAUUCAUUUGUGUGCCACAUUGAAUUAGCAACAUCUCUCAAAGUUUGUCAAUUGGGAAAAAAGUGUUCAAACCUAUUUUUCUUAAGUAAAUCUGGUGAUAUCAUUAAUAAUCUAUGGUUGGUGGAAGGUCUUUUUUGUUUGUUGAAGAUUUAAGCUCUCAAGAGUUUAUUUUAAAGGAACAUAUACUUUGAAUAACAAAUACUGGGCAUGUUUAACUAACCUAGGUGAGAAAACUAUGGUGCUGUUUAAUUGUAAAUAGAUUGACAUAAGAUUGGACCAAUACUUGAUGUGUACAAUUUUAGUAUGUAGGAUUUUGUGCUUUUUUUAAAAAAAAGUUCAAAUUUUCUCUUUGUCUUUGCCUUUUUUCUGUGUGGUUUUUUUUUAUUGUUACUCUCUACAAUAAGGGUAAUUUGCCUCAUUCUAAUAAAACGUCUAAAAAGCUUUUCCUCUUUUUUAAAACUUCAACUCAAUAAAUAACUUCAUUAUCAUCAGACUUAGAA